RNAcentral lists this long non-coding RNA (662 nucleotides) under Cricetulus griseus (Chinese hamster). RNAcentral's name for it is "lncRNA (ENSCGRG00015043240.1)". Lineage: Eukaryota; Metazoa; Chordata; Mammalia; Rodentia; Cricetidae. The record is from RNAcentral.
CUGUGACUGAAGGUGGAGGGCAGAAAGGUCUUGCCCUCAAAGAGAUGCACGCAGUGGGGUUGGGAGAUACCAGGCAUAAUGGGUGACCCCUCCUGCAAGGCAAGGGUCGUCAUCCCUCAGGUCUCUCUCUCUCCACUGCUACCCAUAGGACGCAGCACUGAGAAAGAUGCUCCAGGGGGGUCUGCUCUCCCUGGAUGCUGAGCCCAUCUGAUGCCAUGGCUCCCCUCUUAAUGUCUCAGCACAGCAUACCUUCAAGGUUGCCUGUUAUCUUCAGGAAUACCCCUGACUUUUCCUUGUCAGGAUCAAAGCCAUCCUCUUUCCAUGCCACUCUUGAUGUGGACUCCACCCACCCCAAAACAAGCAGGCCCAACCCUGCUUGUGAUCACGUUGUUUUGGCUGGAAGAGGAGCUUCCAACUUCUUCAUCAGCCAUCCAGGCCAAACAUCCAGUAUUAAAGCAAAAAAUGAAGGCCAGGAGUCCAAAGAUGGAUUGUGCAAGAAGACAUCCUGUUGCCAAGUGGGGUGUCUUAACUAACUAGAGUCUAGGCUCUGAGAAAUGAAGUUCCAGCAGAUGACAGGUCAUCCUGUCAUGUACUCACCAUCUCUGAAAGCAGCUUGUUGGCGGGUGUGCUGGUCUUCUCAUGUGGGGCUGGCCAGAGAGAGG